RNAcentral lists this unclassified non-coding RNA (281 nucleotides) under Hevea brasiliensis (rubber tree). Lineage: Eukaryota; Viridiplantae; Streptophyta; Magnoliopsida; Malpighiales; Euphorbiaceae. The record is from RNAcentral.
AAGGAAAGCAACUGAAAGGAAAACUAAGAAAAUAAAUAAGCUCUCAGAAUAUGCAUAUCCAGUAGCCUUGUAUCUCUUUUCUAUUUAUAGGCUUUGUUGCUUGGAGAGGAAUCCUAUGUUCUACCUGUGUAAUGGUUUUUGGCAUGCAUGUCCGACACAUUUGCCCCUUUAUUGGUCCCUGUAGUGGAGUAUUCUUCCAAAUAUGUAGGUGCAACUUUUGGCCUGUUGCUGCGCCUAAGUGUGAGUGGGUCCAUUACCUCUAUUCAUAACAUAGGCUCCAU